This 69-nucleotide transfer RNA is filed under the name Neotoma lepida (desert woodrat). It matches the Rfam family "tRNA". From Rfam's summary of the family: Transfer RNA (tRNA) molecules are approximately 80 nucleotides in length. Their secondary structure includes four short double-helical elements and three loops (D, anti-codon, and T loops). Lineage: Eukaryota; Metazoa; Chordata; Mammalia; Rodentia; Cricetidae. The record is from Rfam by way of RNAcentral.
GUGUAUGGUUUAGUGGUAGAGUGCUCACCUAACAAGUGUGAGGCCCUAGGUUCAAUCCCUAGCAACACA